GCCGGGUGUGGUGGCGCGUGCCUGUAGUCCCAGCUACUCAGGAGGCUGAGGUGGGAGGAUCACUUGAGCCCAGGAGCUCUGGGCUGUAGUGCGCUAUGCCGAUCGGGUGUCCACACUAAGUUCGGCAUCAAUAUGGUGACCUCCCGGGAGCAGGGGACCACCAGGUUGCCUAAGGUGGGGUGAACCGGCCCAGGUUGGAAACGGAGCAGGUCAAAACUCCCGUGCUGAUCAGUAGUGGGCUCGUGCCUGUGAAUAGCCACCGCACUCCAGCCUGGGCAACAUAGCGAGACCCCAUCUCU
This 299-nucleotide signal recognition particle RNA is filed under the name Aotus nancymaae (Ma's night monkey). RNAcentral describes it as "Metazoan signal recognition particle RNA (ENSANAG00000006226.1)". It matches the Rfam family "Metazoan signal recognition particle RNA". Rfam says of the family: The signal recognition particle (SRP) is a universally conserved ribonucleoprotein. It is involved in the co-translational targeting of proteins to membranes. Lineage: Eukaryota; Metazoa; Chordata; Mammalia; Primates; Aotidae. The record is from RNAcentral.